This 255-nucleotide ribosomal RNA is filed under the name uncultured bacterium. RNAcentral's name for it is "partial 16S ribosomal RNA". It matches the Rfam family "Bacterial small subunit ribosomal RNA", at positions 524 to 777 of the family's 1533-position model. The record is from RNAcentral.
UACGUAGGUGACAAGCGUUGUCCGGAUUUACUGGGCGUAAAGAGCGCGCAGGCGGUCGUUCAAGUCGAGUGUGAAAGCCCCCGGCUCAACUGGGGAGGGUCAUUCGAUACUGAUCGACUCGAAGGCAGGAGAGGGAAGUGGAAUUCCCGGGUGUAGUGGUGAAAUGCGUAGAUAUCGGGAGGAACACCAGUGGCGAAGGCGACUUCCUGGCCUGUUCUUGACGCUGAGGCGCGAAAGCUAGGGGAGCAAACGGGG